CAGUCGCCACGGGAAUACAGAGGGUGCGAGCGUUAAUCGGAUUUACUGGGCGUAAAGCGUGCGUAGGCGGCUUUUUAAGUCGGAUGUGAAAUCCCUGAGCUUAACUUAGGAAUUGCAUUCGAUACUGGGAAGCUAGAGUAUGGGAGAGGAUGGUAGAAUUCCAGGUGUAGCGGUGAAAUGCGUAGAGAUCUGGAGGAAUACCGAUGGCGAAGGCAGUUAUCUGGCCUAAUACUGACGCUGAGGUACGAAAGCAUGGGGAGCAAACAGGAUUAGAUACCCCUGUAGUCCCUGUCUCUUAUAU
This 301-nucleotide ribosomal RNA is filed under the name uncultured bacterium. RNAcentral's name for it is "partial 16S ribosomal RNA". It matches the Rfam family "Bacterial small subunit ribosomal RNA", at positions 509 to 809 of the family's 1533-position model. The record is from RNAcentral.